This 902-nucleotide ribosomal RNA is filed under the name Sporothrix globosa. RNAcentral describes it as "LSU rRNA". It matches the Rfam family "Eukaryotic large subunit ribosomal RNA", at positions 34 to 967 of the family's 3401-position model. Lineage: Eukaryota; Fungi; Ascomycota; Sordariomycetes; Ophiostomatales; Ophiostomataceae. The record is from RNAcentral.
UUAAGCAUAUCAAUAAGCGGAGGAAAAGAAACCAACAGGGAUUGCCCCAGUAACGGCGAGUGAAGCGGCAACAGCUCAAAUUUGAAAUCUGGCCCCCCGGCCCGAGUUGUAAUUUGGAGAGGAUGCUUCUGGCGCGGCGCCGUCCGAGUUCCUUGGAACAGGACGCCACAGAGGGUGAGAGCCCCGUACGGACGGACGCCUAGCCUCUACGAAGCUCCUUCGACGAGUCGAGUAGUUUGGGAAUGCUGCUCAAAAUGGGAGGUAAAUUUCUUCUAAAGCUAAAUACCGGCCAGAGACCGAUAGCGCACAAGUAGAGUGAUCGAAAGAUGAAAAGCACUUUGAAAAGAGGGUUAAAAAGUACGUGAAAUUGUUGAAAGGGAAGCGCCUGUGACCAGACUUGCGCCUCGCGGACCACCCGGCGUUCUCGCCGGUGCACUCUGCGUGGCGCAGGCCAGCAUCGGUUCUCCCAGGGGGACAAAGGCCGCGGGAACGUAGCUCCUUCGGGAGUGUUAUAGCCCGCGGCGGCAUGCCCCUGGGGGGACCGAGGACCGCGCUUCGGCAAGGAUGCUGGCGUAAUGGUCACCAGCGACCCGUCUUGAAACACGGACCAAGGAGUCAAGCAUUGGGGCGAGUGUAUGGGUGCCAAACCCGCACGCGAAAUGAAAGUAAACGCAGGUGAGAGCUUCGGCGCAUCAUCGACCGAUCCUGAUGUCUUCGGAUGGAUUUGAGUAAGAGCCUUACCGCUUGGACCCGAAAGAUGGUGAACUAUGCCUGAAUAGGGUGAAGCCAGAGGAAACUCUGGUGGAGGCUCGCAGCGGUUCUGACGUGCAAAUCGAUCGUCAAAUUUGGGCAUGGGGGCGAAAGACUAAUCGAACCAUCUAGUAGCUGGUUACCGCCGAAGU